Long non-coding RNA from Theropithecus gelada (gelada), 2394 nucleotides. NCBI's taxonomy places the organism in Eukaryota, Metazoa, Chordata, Mammalia, Primates, Cercopithecidae. The record is from Ensembl.
CCCCCGCACACGCCGCAAGGCCGACCCAAACCCCCCGGGCGCCCACCGGGCCCCCACGCGGGGCGCCGCCGACCGGUCCCGAAGGCGCGCACCAUGGGGACGCGGACACCGGGCCAACCAGUGUGGCCGGCGGCGACGCCCCCAGAAGGCGGAGCCGGGUUCGGGCCCAGACGGGGCGGCCAACAGCAUAAAAGCCGGUGAGCCGCUCGGGGAAGAGAGGAUCGGCAGGCAGCGGGCAGGGAAAAGGGGCACAAGGCAGGCAAGGAGCCAGGGGGCCACGGGGACAAGGGCACGGGGAACCCGCAGAGGGCUAAACUCGGGCAAGCAACCUCAGGCACGGCCGGGCCACCAGGAAAACACGGCCACGGGAUCCCACCGCCACAGACACGAGGGCGGUCCCGCAGCGCCCCGCCUGGGACGCCGAACGGCCCUUGGGCAGCCCACCGAUCAACCCCCUCGCGAGCCCCGGGUCCCGCCACCAGGGGGGCCCCGAAGCAACCUCAGCCACAAGCCCAACACCAGGGGCCACAUGUCGCCCGUUUCUCGUCCGUCCCGGACCCGGUCCCGCUCCGGGAGACCGGCGCGCCACCCCGUGGGGACGGCUCGCUCCCCAAGGACCAGGCGGCCCCACACCCCGCGCCACGCGAACGCGGUCAUCGGCACCGGUCGCGGCUCGGCACAGGAGCGGGCGGAGAGCCGGCUCACAGCGGAGAGCGGCGUCGCGCGCCGGACAGAGUGCCACGCGCACCCGCCGCUCGCGGCAGCCUUCCCAUCCGCUAGGACGUCGGGCCCGGCCCACCGGGAUCCUCCCCCAACUCGGGAGGGGGAGGCGCGGGCCACAGUAGACGACGAGCCGUGCGCUCGGCCCCCACCGCGGGGUCCGGCGGAACCCUCACUGUUCCCCCACCUCAUCCCAUCGAGGAGGGGGCAGCGGAGGAGGGUUCUCUGCAAGCGAGUCGCUACGGCAGCGCUACCGCAACACAGAGAGAGGCGGCAGGCCGGGGGAUCCGGUACCCCAAGGCACGCCUCUCGGAUCGCUAGAGAAGGCUUUCUCACCGAGGGUGGGUCACGCUCCCCACCCGCCAGUCGCCCCUCGUCGGGCCCGCAGAGGCGCUCAGGGACGCCUGGGGAAGGGAGGGGGCCUGCGGCGCGAGGAGAAGACACCUGCGGCAACCUUGAGCGUUUGCGGUCAGGGCAGGGGCCCGGCUGGCGCGCGUGCGCGCAGCCCCCAAGGCCCCCCGCCGUCCACCCACCUCCUUUCUGUGAGGCAAAGCACCUCCAGUUAACCCACACACGACCGAUCGGAGGCAGAACGGCAGCCCCUCGGCGGCCGGCCGGCGCACGCGUGGCCGGCCCGAGCCCACCGCAACCGCUCACACGGCCCGCGCUCACCCGCCAGAGGGGAGCACGGGACGUGCACUCGCCAGACCAGGCGGCGCCCUUCCCCGCGUGGGAGGGGCGCGUCUCACUGAACCGCCUCGACCCGCACAGCCGACGAGCUCCCUCAGGACCCACACGCGGACACCGUGGCGGCGACCGGAGGAGGGGGCGCUGGGGGCGGGAGCAACACGCCACCGCUCGGCCUCGGGCACCUGAGCGACAACCCGGAGCGCUCCAGGAGCACCGCAAAGGCCCAGGCGGAACCAGCGCUCGUGCAAUACCCGAGAGGGCAGCACGACGGGCCAGCGGGACAGCACCCCCACCGCCGCGGAGGGGGGCGGCCCACGAGGUGACGGCCACAAGAGGCGAAAGCGAGGGGUGCCUGCUGCGUCAGAGGACCCCCGCCGACCCCCGCCGGACGCCACGAGGCGGACGGCAGGGUCGGGACGGCGAGGUCGGGCCGGGUUCCGCACCCCAGUGCCUCCCAACGCACCGCCCACAGGCGGGGAUGGGAGACGGCGGGGCCCCCGCGGGCGGGACGAGAAGAACGGGUCCCAUUCACCAUGAAUGCCCGCCCCUCGCCCGUCGCGGCUCGGUCCCGGCCCGGGAGAGCAUGACAUCACCACAUCGAUCAGGGAAAGCAUCCCCGGAGCGGGGUCGGCCAGUCAGCCACAGCCUCCCCAGAGGCCAGCGAGCAGAUCAGCCUGGCCAUCCCCAGCUCCAGGGGAGGGGCGGCAGACAACCCGGCAGACACGAGGAACGCCUGACACGCACGGCACGGAGCCAGCGGGGGUGGGGUUGUCACAGCCGCCCCAGGUGCCCGCAGCGGGGAGCGCACGGCGGCGGGGUAAGCCGGCGCCGCCUUCCCCGCCGCCCCCAGGUGGGUCAGAGACCCGGACCCAAGGCGGCACCGGGAGCCAGGACGCUCGGAUGCAUGAGAGACCAGGCACACACGGGCCCCAGCAGGCGGCUCAGGCACGAGCAGGGCCGACUAGCCGGGUCACCGGGAGGCCG